GAAAGAGUGGCCUUUGGACGGAAAUGUCAAACCGUGGAUGUGGAGGCGUAGAUCUCCCAGAUCUGCACUCAUUUCCCACUUAUAUUUGCUCGGUAAUCCGCAGUGGCAGCCCUGAUUCGCCCGGGACCCGGUUUGUGAGGCGAUGCUGUUGACACAGGGUUGGAACUGGGGGACAUCCUCAAACGUUUGAAGCCCCAGUUUGUGUGGAUCAAACGUUUGCCAUCUACGCUGAUGAAGUGCUGCACUAAAACAUCAAAACACUCGUCAUUGUCGGCACUGGUUCGUUUCAAGGCGCGUGCUGCAGACAGAAGAGAGGGGGCCGCUAACCGGAAGCAAAACACCAUAUAAGGGGAUUCCGCAUGGACGCGGGUGUAUACGUUGAAACAAAA
This is a long non-coding RNA of Gasterosteus aculeatus aculeatus (three-spined stickleback), 389 nucleotides long. NCBI's taxonomy places the organism in Eukaryota, Metazoa, Chordata, Actinopteri, Perciformes, Gasterosteidae. The record is from Ensembl.